GGUCAAGCGAACAAGUGCAUGUGGUGGAUGCCUUGGCGAUCACAGGCGAUGAAGGACGCGGUAGCCUGCGAAAAGCUACGGGGAGCUGGCAAACGAGCUUUGAUCCGUAGAUGUCCGAAUGGGGAAACCCGGCCCUUUUGGGUCAUCCUAGACUGAAUACAUAGGUCUAGUGAAGCGAACGCGGUGAACUGAAACAUCUAAGUAACCGCAGGAAAAGAAAUCAACCGAGAUUCCCAAAGUAGUGGCGAGCGAAAUGGGAUGAGCCUUGCACUCUUUAUUUGUAUUGUUAGCCGAACGCUCUGGAAAGUGCGGCCAUAGCAGGUGAUAGCCCUGUAGGCGAAAACAGUAUGAAAGAACUAGGUGUGCGACAAGUAGGGCGGGACACGUGAAAUCCUGUCUGAAGAUGGGGGGACCAUCCUCCAAGGCUAAAUACUCGUGAUCGACCGAUAGUGAACCAGUACCGUGAGGGAAAGGCGAAAAGAACCCCGGGAGGGGAGUGAAAUAGAUCCUGAAACCGCAUGCAUACAAACAGUCGGAGCCUCGUAAGGGGUGACGGCGUACCUUUUGUAUAAUGGGUCAGCGACUUACGUUCAGUAGCAAGCUUAACCGUAUAGGGCAGGCGUAGCGAAAGCGAGUCCGAAUAGGGCGUUCAGUUGCUGGGCGUAGACCCGAAACCAGGUGAUCUAUCCAUGGCCAGGAUGAAGGUGCGGUAACACGUACUGGAGGUCCGAACCCACUAACGUUGAAAAGUUAGGGGAUGAGCUGUGGAUAGGGGUGAAAGGCUAAACAAACCUGGAAAUAGCUGGUUCUCUCCGAAAACUAUUUAGGUAGUGCCUCGUGUCUCACCUUCGGGGGUAGAGCACUGUCAUGGUUGGGGGGUCUAUUGCAGAUUACCCCGCCAUAGCAAACUCCGAAUACCGAAGAGUGCAAUCACGGGAGACAGACAUCGGGUGCUAACGUCCGGUGUCAAGAGGGAAACAACCCAGACCGCCAGCUAAGGUCCCCAAAUAUAGCUAAGUGGGAAACGAAGUGGGAAGGCUAAAACAGUCAGGAGGUUGGCUUAGAAGCAGCCACCCUUUAAAGAAAGCGUAAUAGCUCACUGAUCGAGUCGUCCUGCGCGGAAGAUGUAACGGGGCUAAGCUAUAUACCGAAGCUGCGGAUGCGUGCUUUGCACGCAUGGUAGGAGAGCGUUCCGUAAGCCUGCGAAGGUGCGUUGAAAAGCGUGCUGGAGGUAUCGGAAGUGCGAAUGCUGACAUGAGUAGCGAUAAAGGGGGUGAAAGGCCCCCUCGCCGUAAGCCCAAGGUUUCCUACGCAACGUUCAUCGGCGUAGGGUGAGUCGGCCCCUAAGGCGAGGCAGAAAUGCGUAGCUGAUGGGAAGCAGGUCAAUAUUCCUGCACCAUUGUUAGAUGCGAUGGGGGGACGGAUCGCGGAAGGUUGUCCGGGUGUUGGAAGUCCCGGUCGCUGCAUUGGAGAAGGCGCUUAGGCAAAUCCGGGCGCAGGAUUCAAGGGUGUGGCGCGAGCUCCCUCGGGAGCGAAGCAAUUGGAAGUGGUUCCAAGAAAAGCCUCUAAGCUUCAGUCUAACGAUGACCGUACCGCAAACCGACACAGGUGGGCGAGAUGAGUAUUCUAAGGCGCUUGAGAGAACUCGGGAGAAGGAACUCGGCAAAUUGGUACCGUAACUUCGGGAUAAGGUACGCCCUUGUAGCUUGACUGGCCUGCGCCAGGAGGGUGAAGGGGUUGCAAUAAACUGGUGGCUGCGACUGUUUAAUAAAAACACAGCACUCUGCAAACACGAAAGUGGACGUAUAGGGUGUGACGCCUGCCCGGUGCCGGAAGAUUAAAUGAUGGGGUGCAAGCUCUUGAUUGAAGUCCCGGUAAACGGCGGCCGUAACUAUAACGGUCCUAAGGUAGCGAAAUUCCUUGUCGGGUAAGUUCCGACCUGCACGAAUGGCGUAACGAUGGCCACACUGUCUCCUCCCGAGACUCAGCGAAGUUGAAGUGUUUGUGAUGAUGCAAUCUACCCGCGGCUAGACGGAAAGACCCCAUGAACCUUUACUGUAGCUUUGCAUUGGACUUUGAACCGAUCUGUGUAGGAUAGGUGGGAGGCUAUGAAACCGGAACGCUAGUUUCGGUGGAGCCGUCCUUGAAAUACCACCCUGGUUUGUUUGAGGUUCUAACCUUGGCCCGUGAUCCGGGUCGGGGACAGUGCAUGGUAGGCAGUUUGACUGGGGCGGUCUCCUCCCAAAGCGUAACGGAGGAGUACGAAGGUACGCUAGGUACGGUCGGAAAUCGUGCUGAUAGUGCAAUGGCAUAAGCGUGCUUAACUGCGAGACCGACAAGUCGAGCAGGUGCGAAAGCAGGUCAUAGUGAUCCGGUGGUUCUGUAUGGAAGGGCCAUCGCUCAACGGAUAAAAGGUACUCUGGGGAUAACAGGCUGAUACCGCCCAAGAGUUCAUAUCGACGGCGGUGUUUGGCACCUCGAUGUCGGCUCAUCUCAUCCUGGGGCUGUAGCCGGUCCCAAGGGUAUGGCUGUUCGCCAUUUAAAGAGGUACGUGAGCUGGGUUUAAAACGUCGUGAGACAGUUUGGUCCCUAUCUGCCGUGGGCGUUGGAUAUUUGAAGGGGGCUGCUCCUAGUACGAGAGGACCGGAGUGGACGAACCUCUGGUGUACCGGUUGUCACGCCAGUGGCAUCGCCGGGUAGCUAUGUUCGGAAGAGAUAACCGCUGAAAGCAUCUAAGCGGGAAACUCGCCUUAAGAUGAGAUAUCCCUGGG
This 2771-nucleotide ribosomal RNA is filed under the name Burkholderia seminalis. RNAcentral's name for it is "partial 23S ribosomal RNA". It matches the Rfam family "Bacterial large subunit ribosomal RNA". The record is from RNAcentral. Lineage: Bacteria; Pseudomonadati; Pseudomonadota; Betaproteobacteria; Burkholderiales; Burkholderiaceae.